This 62-nucleotide transfer RNA is filed under the name Fusarium acuminatum CS5907. Lineage: Eukaryota; Fungi; Ascomycota; Sordariomycetes; Hypocreales; Nectriaceae. The record is from RNAcentral.
UAGGGCUUAUUUUCGGAGAAGGCGGAGCUUCAGCAAGCUCUUCGGAGAAAAUCAGCCCUACC